Molecule: long non-coding RNA, 5008 nt
Filed under: Triticum aestivum (bread wheat)
Lineage: Eukaryota; Viridiplantae; Streptophyta; Magnoliopsida; Poales; Poaceae
Description: long non-coding RNA (TAES_LNC005147)
Source: RNAcentral
UUUUUUUUCGUUUCCAAGAGGCACGGCCGUGCCUCUCGCGAAAGCACAACCGGGCCUCUCGCGAAAACAAAAUCGUGACUCUCGCGAAAAAAAAUGUAUUUUUUUGCGCAAAAAAAUUAUUCUUUUGAAAGAAAAAUUGGUCGAAAAGCGAGAAAAGACCGGUAAAAAACUAAAACGUCAAAAAAAACCGAAAAAAUCGUUUAAAAAGCCGAAAACACGUGCGUAAAAAUAAAAAAAAUAAAAUCCGGAGGGAGCGCCCAAAGCACGAUACGUGGCGAAUGGCUAUGAGCGCGCCAAGUGGCACUGAUAGUUGCGAGGCUUCCGAAGGAGCGCUCGUUAGUUAGUUGCUCCCAUUUAUCACAGUGGACGCAGUUAUGGUCGUGGGCUUUCUUGGGCCGUGCAGCUAAGGUACGGAGCCACUGAACGGGUCGUUAAUUAGCGCCGAAAAGCUUGAGUUAACGUUGCUCCCCGCGUGAUCUUCUCCAACGACUUGCCUCGUUUCUCGGUUCUCAAGCCUGGAGACUCAAGUCUCAACCCAUUCCAACUCACCGCGCACACACGUACUCGUCAGAACAACAGAAGCUCCUCUCCUCUCCUCUCUUCCGUUGCGUCUGCAUGCAUACUCCACGGCUCGGCUUCCGCGGGCUGCAGCCUGCAGCCAUGACCGCCCCCACCGCGCCACCAAGAAAGCUCUCGCCGCCCGCCGCGCCGCGAAGAAGGCUAUCGCCGCCGACCGCGCCACCAAGAAAGCUAUCGCCGCCCGCCGGACGGGCGCGGCCCGUGAACAUGAGCCCCCCGCGCCGCGUGCCCCAUCCCCAUCCCCCACCCCACCAUCGGCCGCCGACGCCGACGCCGCAGCGCAGCCACCUCCACGGCCAGCAGCAGCAGCACAAGCAGCAGACCUCCGCGUGGAGCGUCGGCUUCCUGAGCGCCUGGCUCUCGCAGCGCACCCCCGUGCUCGGCCUCCGCGCCUGGGUCCUGGUCGCCGCGGCCGCGGCCGCGGUCGUCCUCGCCGUCCUCGUGCUCACCGUCUGCCUCUGCCGCUGCCGGCGCCGACGCCGGCGAUGCCCCCGCGUCGCCCCGAGCCUGCACCACGGAGGCGCGUCCAGGUCCAUGAAGCAUCACUUGCAUCAGGCGAUGGCGGACAAGGACAUCGUCGAGGAGUCCAUCCGCUGGCACCCGCCGCCUCCGUGCGAGCCGCCGUUCCAGCCGCCGAUCGAGGUCAUCAAGGCGGAGCAGAAGGCCCCGCUGAUCACGGUCGAGUCCGCGCGGACUAGCGGCGAGACGGGGACGAGCAUCGCCGGGAGCGCGCGCGGGUGGAGCACCGAGAGCGGCGCCAGCGACGCGGGGGCCGACGCGUCGCAGCGCGGCUGGGGCCGCCGGUACACGCGCCGGGAGCUGGAGGAGGCCACCGACGGGUUCGCCGCCCAGAACGUGCUCGGGGAGGGCGGCUACGGGGUGGUCUACAAGGGUGUGCUACGAGACUCCACCCUCGUCGCCAUCAAGAAUCUGCACAACAACAGGUAAUCCUCGUCCCGGUGCUCGAAUUUUUCGGUGUCUCACGAGUUUCUCCAAUUGAAUUUCAGGCAGCACAUUGUUCAACCAUUCGAAUUUGUUGUCAUUAGAAACGCGAAAUGAUGUCCUCCUUUGAAUUCGUUACGAGGCAAUCCGAAAGCCACACGUCGUUUGUUGAUCUAGGUUCCGGGUUAGCUUCGAAAUCUGGAUUGAUUUAAAAUGCAGAACUCCCACUAGAACCGCACUCUUCUGUUUUUUGACGCUGAAAUUUCACACUGUUUUCCGAUAUGUGUGUGAUCAGGAGAAGUGUUAUUUUCUUGUUUAGUUGGGAGCAACAACUUUGUUCGGGGCAGAUACCAGAUUUGAAUUUUCAGUUCACGUGUACUACUCCGCAACCAUGGCCAGCAGUAACUGCCUCCAGCGGCCUUCUGGGACCCAAGAUGUUCAAAUUUCAAAACAGCGAUCACCAACUGCUCCGUCCUUGGUUUCAGGGGCCAGGCCGAGAAAGAUUUCAAGGUGGAGGUGGCGACGAUCGGGCGGGUUCGGCACAAGAACCUGGUCAGUUUGCUCGGCUACUGCAGCGAGGGCGCCUGCAGGUGAGCAAUGCAAUGCUUAACUGUGCCACAUUUCUUCAGUUACCUCUGUUUGUCCUCUGUUCACAACAUUGCUUAAUUUGAUCCAUGUCACUGCUUUGGUUGGAUGGAUAGGAUGCUGGUCUAUGAGUACAUGGAGAACAGUAACCUCGACAAGUGGCUGCACCAUGCGGAGGGUGAAAUUAGUCAGCUCAACUGGGACACAAGGAUGCACAUACUUCUCGGAACUGCUAAAGGGUACGGCAAUUCUUCAAUUUCGUAUCAUUCAACAAAGCAUGGAUUAAAAAACCUAAAAUUAAAGAUGGUCGAUUAGGAGUAGAGAAGAAGUAUGGUAUGUAUCUAGACAACAAAUUUUAUGCACGCACAUCACUGCUGCUAGUUGGCAUGAUUGACAAGUGGUGUGUCACUCUGAAAUCUGAAUGCUGAAAACAACAUCGCCAGUGCUACUCUUGCUUAAACGGCACAUAUGUCUUGAACAUCGAAAGUCUGAUACGCGUGCGCAGUGCACACUAGCAAGAACUGAUGUGCAUCUUUUACCCGAACUUCAGGUUGGCGUACCUUCACGAAGGGCUGGAGCCCAAGAUCGUCCACCGAGACGUCAAAUCCAGCAACAUCCUUCUGGACGGGCAGUGGAACGCCAGGGUGUCGGAUUUCGGGCUCGCCAAGCUCCUCUGCUCCGAGGCGUCCUACGUCACCACCCGCGUCAUGGGAACCUUCGGGUCAGUCUCUCAACUAAAUUUCCAUGGCACCGUUACGUAGAGUUCGUUUGCCUGGCCGCAGCUUAGCAAUUCGCCUGGUCGCGUUGCCUGCAGGUACGUGGCGCCGGAGUACGCGCGGACCGGGAUGCUGAACGAGAGGAGCGACGUGUACAGCUUCGGGGUGCUCGUCAUGGAGAUGAUAACCGGCAGAACUCCGGUGGACUACAUCAGGCCCACCGCGGAGGUCAGCUGCCCUCGCCGUCGUUUUCUUUCUUUUCCUACCCGCGCACUUCGAUCGGCAUGCACUGCCAGUGCACUCUUCUCUAGUGGAAGUGGAACUGAACUUUCCGUGGUGACUCAGGUGAACUUGGUGGAGUGGCUGAAGCGCAUGGUGGCGGAGAGGAGGGUGGAGGAGGUGCUGGACCCGACGCUGCCAGAGGCGCCGCCGUCCAAGGUGCUGAAGCGCGCCGUCCUCGCGGCGCUCCGGUGCGUCGACCCCGACGGCGGCCAGCGGCCCACCAUGGGGCACGUGGUGCACAUGCUCGAGGACGACCUCAGGUUCAGAGACGUACGUCGCCGUUGCCAUACACCGCAUUGAACUGCAACUGUGUUUUUGGUGUCGUCAAACCGUUUUGCUGCUCCAUGCAGGAACUCCAGCUUGCGCGGGGUCUGUCGGCCCACGCUUCGGCGUCGGCGUCGUCGGGGAGCUACGAGCGCGAGGAGUGAACGCCAUGGACAAGGACGGACGAAUGGCUGUGUUUCCUUCGCGUUCGCGCACCGAAUGCUCUUGACAACAAGCUAGUCGAUCGGAUCUCUUUUCUUCUCCGGUUGUGUUUGUUUGCAUGACAGACAGCAAUGACUCAAUCAAACAGCAGGCAUACAGCCGGCGCAUAAUCAAGGCUAGCAGUAGUACGAGGAGUACUUCGCAACUUUAUAUGAUCGACAUAACGGAAGUCCGUCUAUGCUUCCCCGGCACUACCUGUGUCACUUUGGUGUCUAUGGUUUGCUUUAGUUGUUGAAUUUCGGUUGCCAUAAGUUUGCGUCGUUGCCAUCGCUUAACUUAAGUUCAGCCCGUACGUACGGUAGCACUCGCCAUUUCAAGCAGGGCGCAAGAAAGAGAUAUUUCUUCUGGGGCCGGCCCACGUGCCACCCAACCCAGGAACGCAUCGAGAAUGCAGUUACGUGCCACCACUGACCACUGCCCAUGGCGAUAAGGUUAUUGCCACGAGAGGGGAGAGCAGCUCGUCGUCUCCUGCAAUCCACCGGCGGCGCGCAUGGCCGCCUUGCUCCACGUAGCGGCUCUCCAGCCCCCUCACCCCACCCCAAAAACCCAUCAUCCAUGGACGCACAGCCGGGCCACCACGUCCAUCCUCUCGGCACCUGACGCAGCCCCGUCGAAGCGACGACGAGCCCCAGCUCGGCGGCUACACGCGGCCGGCAACGGCAGCGGCGUCGGCACGCCAGCCACGGACAGCACAAGCAACAAGAAGCCGAGCCGCAAGGAGAAGCAGCGGCAGCAGCAGCGGGUGCGGGAGCGGGAGGAGCAGCAGCAGCUGCUGCUCCUGAAGGAGUCGCUCGUGGAGCCCGCCCGCGAGGAGGACGGCGGCGGCCGCGGCGACGACGAGCUGCCGCAGGUGGUGUUCGACCGCAUCCUCCGGCGGAUCCUGUUCACGGUGGGCGUCCCGAUGGCGUCGGGCGUGGCGCUCCUCAACGUGUACGACGCGCUCAAGCGCGGGGGCGGCGCGGAGGUGCCGUCGUGGGUGCAGCUGCUCACCAUCCUCCUCUCCUUCGGCACGUCGGCGCUCGGCAUCGCCUACGGGACGCUGUCGGCGAGCUGGGACCCGGAGAAAGAAGGCUCGCUGCUCGGCAUCGACGAGGCCCGGACCAACUGGCCGGAGCUGUGGAAGGAAGAGAUCGAGAAGGAUAACAAGUAGUAACUGUAAAUAGACUAGAUAUUUUCUCCACUGGAAAUAGCAGUACGCUUGUUGUCGACACUUGAUACUCGUACAGGCUACAGCAGUGAAACUAUGAAACAAUUCGCAGUGGCUUUGCAAGGUCUCUGCAAUAGGUAGAAUGGCCAAAACUGAACACUUGGCAGCAAAAAUGAGAAAACUGAAUGAACCCCCAGGCCGGCCAGAAUACAACACUGAUGAGUCAGUUGCUUUCUGUUCUCCUAAAGCAGAUGGAUGGGUUAUUUUGAUC